AUGUGGUUUAAUUCGAUGAAAAAUGAAGAACCUUAUUGGUGCCUGACUUGAAAGAGACAGGUGCCUUUGGAAAUGCGGACACAGAUAUGGUUCAUGGAUGUCGUUAGCUCGUGCCGUGAGGUGUUGAGUUAAGUCCUGCAAUGAGCGUAAUCCUCGUGAAAGGAAUUCAGAAUAAAUCACAAUGAAAAUAUUUGAUGUAUUCAU
Molecule: non-coding RNA, 204 nt
Filed under: Solanum tuberosum (potato)
Lineage: Eukaryota; Viridiplantae; Streptophyta; Magnoliopsida; Solanales; Solanaceae
Description: Bacterial small subunit ribosomal RNA
Rfam family: Bacterial small subunit ribosomal RNA
Source: Rfam by way of RNAcentral